Molecule: long non-coding RNA, 1472 nt
Organism: Esox lucius (northern pike)
Lineage: Eukaryota; Metazoa; Chordata; Actinopteri; Esociformes; Esocidae
Source: Ensembl
GAAAGGUUAAAUAAUCCUACAUUCAACUAUUGAGCAAUUCAAACAUUAAUUUAAAUAUCAUCAACAAAGUGCAUCUAUACUGUCAUGUCUUCAUUUAAACGAUGUAAGAAAGUACAACCAAUCAUUCUAAAGUCAAGAGGGCAUACAAACACUACACUUGGGAACAUAUUCGCUCUGCAGUCCAGUUGUGACUUUCAUUAUUACACUUCUAUUAGACUGCUUCAACUGUUUUUACACUAUUAAAAAAACUGAUAUGGAGCUAUUCAGCCAAGCCUUUCCUUGUCAAACCUGUUAAACUGUCUAUUCUGUCCCAGAGGUGAUGGAGUCAAUGUUGAGAUUUAAUUGCUCUAUUUCUAUUGAGAAUAUUCAGCUUACAAAGAUAAUUAAAAUUAAUUGGAUAUAUACCAUUUUAGCUUCAUACAAUAAAUUAAGGAUUUUUUUCUCUUUUAUUUUCAUACCUCAAUAUAAGCUAAAGGAGGAAAGUAAGGAACAAUAAUGAUGUUAACUUGGCCUUUGAAGGGAAUAAUACUGAAACUCUGAAGAGAGAAAAGGGGAAAGUAUAAAGAGCUUGCAAUUAAUUUGAAUAGUUCUAUAUCCAUGUUAUAGCAUAUGAUAUAUAAAGCUAAUAACUUCCUAUGGUGCCAACAUCUGAAUGAAGUGUCAUCCAAUGCAGGAAAUUUAUUUUACCCCUGAUUUCUACUCAAUGGUAACAUCGGUAACCGAGUCUGGAGUCAUCCAUGACCUAUAAAAUUAUCAAACUAUGAUCAAUAAAAAGCAAUUAUGUUUCAUAUACAUCUCAGAUAUACCUCUCAGAAUAUAUAUAUAGUUAAAGAUAGAUGUUCUGAACAGUGUAUGGGUUUUUACAGUAAAGAUAGAUAUUCUGAACACUUUAUGGGUUUUUAUAGAUACCACAGGGAUCUAUGAAGAGGGCUAGAGGUCUGUUCCCCACACAGAUCUAUAAAGAGGGCUAGAGGUCUGUUCCCCACACAGAUCUAUAAAGAGGGCUAGAGGUCUGUUCCCCACACAGAUCUAUAAAGAGGGCUAGAGGUCUGUUCUCCACAGGGAUCUAUGAAGAGAGGUAGAGGUCUGUUCCUCACAGAGAUCUAUGAAGAGGGCUAGAGGUCUGUUCCACACAGGGAUUUAUAACGAGGGCUAGAGGUCUGUUCUCCACAUGGAUUUAUAAAGAGGGUUCGAGGUCUGUUCUCCACAGGAACCUAUAAAGAGGGGUAAAUGUCUGUUCCACACAAGGUGCGUUAAUUUUGCUUUCUCAGGGAGAUGACAUCUGUUGUGGGGUCUAUGUUUAAACCAAUUGUUUGUCUGCUUUUCUCUUUUCACUAGCUACAACACUGUCAGCAUUCUUGUGUCGUGCACAAGCUGCUUUAAAACUGUAAAUGAUGGCCUAUUCUUUUUGGUAAAUGAACUGAAAUUGCAGCAUAUGAAAUUACAACAAGAACAAAGUUUGGAGAUAUGCU